Molecule: ribosomal RNA, 395 nt
Filed under: uncultured bacterium
Lineage: Bacteria
Description: bacterial SSU rRNA
Rfam family: Bacterial small subunit ribosomal RNA
Source: RNAcentral
UGAGGAAUAUUGGGCAAUGCCCGAAAGGGUGACCCAGCAACGCCGCGCGGAGGAUGAAGGUCGUAAGAUUGUAAACUCCUGCUAGAGGGGAAGAAUAACUAAGUUUGGAGCUUAGUAUGACUGUACCCUCAGAGAAAGCCCCGGCUAACUACGUGCCAGCAGCCGCGGUAAUACGUAGGGGGCAAGCGUUGUCCGGAUUUACUGGGUGUAAAGGGCGCGCAGGCGGAAUGGAAAGUCAGUGGUGAAAUCCUACCGCUUAGCUGCAGAACUGCCUUUGAUACUUUCAUUCUUGAGUUCGGGAGAGAGAGACGGAAUUCCAGGUGUAAUGGUGAAAUACGUAGAUAUCUCGAAGAACACCAGUUGCGAAGGCGGUCUCUUGGUCCGAUACUGACGCU